UGGGGAAUAUUGCACAAUGGGGGAAACCCUGAUGCAGCGACGCCGCGUGAACGAAGAAGGUAUUCGUAUCGUAAAGUUCUGUCCUAUGGGAAGAUAAUCACAGUACCAUAGAAGAAAGCUCCGGCUAAAUACGUGCCAGCAGCCGCGGUAAUACGUAUGGAGCGAGCGUUGUCCGGAAUUAUUGGGCGUAAAGGGUACGCAGGCGGUUUAAUAAGUCGAAUGUUAAAGAUCGGGGCUCAACCCCGUAAAGCAUUGGAAACUGAUAAACUUGAGUAGUGGAGAGGAAAGUGGAAUUCCUAGUGUAGUGGUGAAAUACGUAGAUAUUAGGAGGAAUACCAGUAGCGAAGGCGACUUUCUGGACACAAACUGACGCUGAGGUACGAAAGCGUGGGGAGCAAACAGG
RNAcentral lists this ribosomal RNA (403 nucleotides) under bacterium. RNAcentral's name for it is "partial 16S ribosomal RNA". It matches the Rfam family "Bacterial small subunit ribosomal RNA", at positions 355 to 776 of the family's 1533-position model. The record is from RNAcentral.